This 1520-nucleotide ribosomal RNA is filed under the name Klebsiella pneumoniae. RNAcentral describes it as "bacterial SSU rRNA". It matches the Rfam family "Bacterial small subunit ribosomal RNA". Lineage: Bacteria; Pseudomonadati; Pseudomonadota; Gammaproteobacteria; Enterobacterales; Enterobacteriaceae. The record is from RNAcentral.
AGAGUUUGAUCAUGGCUCAGAUUGAACGCUGGCGGCAGGCCUAACACAUGCAAGUCGAGCGGUAGCACAGAGAGCUUGCUCUCGGGUGACGAGCGGCGGACGGGUGAGUAAUGUCUGGGAAACUGCCUGAUGGAGGGGGAUAACUACUGGAAACGGUAGCUAAUACCGCAUAACGUCGCAAGACCAAAGUGGGGGACCUUCGGGCCUCAUGCCAUCAGAUGUGCCCAGAUGGGAUUAGCUAGUAGGUGGGGUAACGGCUCACCUAGGCGACGAUCCCUAGCUGGUCUGAGAGGAUGACCAGCCACACUGGAACUGAGACACGGUCCAGACUCCUACGGGAGGCAGCAGUGGGGAAUAUUGCACAAUGGGCGCAAGCCUGAUGCAGCCAUGCCGCGUGUGUGAAGAAGGCCUUCGGGUUGUAAAGCACUUUCAGCGGGGAGGAAGGCGUUAAGGUUAAUAACCUUGGCGAUUGACGUUACCCGCAGAAGAAGCACCGGCUAACUCCGUGCCAGCAGCCGCGGUAAUACGGAGGGUGCAAGCGUUAAUCGGAAUUACUGGGCGUAAAGCGCACGCAGGCGGUCUGUCAAGUCGGAUGUGAAAUCCCCGGGCUUAACCUGGGAACUGCAUUCGAAACUGGCAGGCUAGAGUCUUGUAGAGGGGGGUAGAAUUCCAGGUGUAGCGGUGAAAUGCGUAGAGAUCUGGAGGAAUACCGGUGGCGAAGGCGGCCCCCUGGACAAAGACUGACGCUCAGGUGCGAAAGCGUGGGGAGCAAACAGGAUUAGAUACCCUGGUAGUCCACGCCGUAAACGAUGUCGAUUUGGAGGUUGUGCCCUUGAGGCGUGGCUUCCGGAGCUAACGCGUUAAAUCGACCGCCUGGGGAGUACGGCCGCAAGGUUAAAACUCAAAUGAAUUGACGGGGGCCCGCACAAGCGGUGGAGCAUGUGGUUUAAUUCGAUGCAACGCGAAGAACCUUACCUGGUCUUGACAUCCACAGAACUUUCCAGAGAUGGAUUGGUGCCUUCGGGAACUGUGAGACAGGUGCUGCAUGGCUGUCGUCAGCUCGUGUUGUGAAAUGUUGGGUUAAGUCCCGCAACGAGCGCAACCCUUAUCCUUUGUUGCCAGCGGUUCGGCCGGGAACUCAAAGGAGACUGCCAGUGAUAAACUGGAGGAAGGUGGGGAUGACGUCAAGUCAUCAUGGCCCUUACGACCAGGGCUACACACGUGCUACAAUGGCAUAUACAAAGAGAAGCGACCUCGCGAGAGCAAGCGGACCUCAUAAAGUAUGUCGUAGUCCGGAUUGGAGUCUGCAACUCGACUCCAUGAAGUCGGAAUCGCUAGUAAUCGUAGAUCAGAAUGCUACGGUGAAUACGUUCCCGGGCCUUGUACACACCGCCCGUCACACCAUGGGAGUGGGUUGCAAAAGAAGUAGGUAGCUUAACCUUCGGGAGGGCGCUUACCACUUUGUGAUUCAUGACUGGGGUGAAGUCGUAACAAGGUAACCGUAGGGGAACCUGCGGUUG